This 256-nucleotide ribosomal RNA is filed under the name Limosilactobacillus fermentum. Its description in RNAcentral is "Lactobacillus fermentum partial 23S ribosomal RNA". It matches the Rfam family "Bacterial large subunit ribosomal RNA", at positions 438 to 696 of the family's 2925-position model. The record is from RNAcentral. Lineage: Bacteria; Bacillati; Bacillota; Bacilli; Lactobacillales; Lactobacillaceae.
CGGAAUCCGCGAGGACCAUCUCGCAAGGCUAAAUACUCCCUAGUGACCGAUAGUGAACCAGUACCGUGAGGGAAAGGUGAAAAGCACCCCGGGAGGGGAGUGAAAUAGUUCCUGAAACCAUGUGCCUACAAGCUGUCGGAGCCCGUUAAUGGGUGACGGCGUGCCUCUUGCAGAAUGAACCGGCGAGUCAUGAUUACGUGCAAGGUUAAGGUGGAAAAACCGGAGCCGCAGCGAAAGCGAGUCUGAAAUGGGCGCA